This 573-nucleotide ribosomal RNA is filed under the name uncultured bacterium. Its description in RNAcentral is "bacterial SSU rRNA". It matches the Rfam family "Bacterial small subunit ribosomal RNA", at positions 35 to 640 of the family's 1533-position model. The record is from RNAcentral.
GCUGGCGGCGCGCCUAACACAUGCAAGUCGAACGAGAAAGGGGAGCAAUCCCUGAGUACAGUGGCGUACGGGUGAGUAACACGUGGGUAAUCUGCCCUUUGGUGGGGAAUAACCCUGGGAAACCGGGGCUAAUACCGCAUAAGUCCGAGAGGAGAAAGCAGCAAUGCGCCGAAGGAGGAGCCCGCGGCCGAUUAGCUAGUUGGUAGGGUAAAGGCCUACCAAGGCAAAGAUCGGUAGCCGGCCUGAGAGGGCACACGGCCACACUGGCACUGAAACACGGGCCAGACUCCUACGGGAGGCAGCAGUGGGGAAUCUUGCACAAUGGGGGAAACCCUGAUGCAGCGACGCCGCGUGAGCGAUGAAGCCCUUCGGGGUGUAAAGCUCUUUCGGCAGGGAAGAUGAUGACGGUACCUGCAGAAGCAGCUGCGGCUAACUACGUGCCAGCAGCCGCGGUAAUACGUAAGCAGCAAGCGUUGUUCGGAGUUACUGGGCGUAAAGGGUGUGUANGCGGUUUGGUAAGUCUGGUGUGAAAUCUCCCGGCUCAACUGAGAGGGUGCGCCGGAAACUGCUGGA